RNAcentral lists this ribosomal RNA (1659 nucleotides) under Triticum aestivum (bread wheat). Its description in RNAcentral is "partial small subunit ribosomal RNA". The record is from RNAcentral. Lineage: Eukaryota; Viridiplantae; Streptophyta; Magnoliopsida; Poales; Poaceae.
GCAGACUAUACAUUGACCGACCAUGAUCUAUGUGCUCAUAUAGCAAUAGAAUCAUCUUUGAGAAAACAAUUGCUGGUUCAGAUAGAUGGAAGUUCUGUCUUGCAACAUCAAUUGAUGUGCCUGCUAGAUGAGAAAGAGUGGGUAAAUGAUGAUGUAAGUACCCUUACUCAAACAUUAUAGGUGAUCAAUGCAUAUAUAUGUUGUAUAAAGGACCAAAUACAUCUCCAGAAUGAUAAUAAAGUAUAUUUUGAGAGUCCAUUUGUUACCUCACUAUUUAAACGAGAUGGCACCAUUGGAAUACAAGAAGGUAGUGCCUUCAUGACAGAGAUUGUCCUCGAAUAUAUGCAGCAUGACAUGAUUAAACUUCCAAUAAAUGCCAAUAACACACAUUGGUAUUUAGCUGUUGUGAAUACAAAAAAAUGUGAGGUUCAAGUUCUAGACUCAUUGUGCUGGAAUUCUGACAGAGAUGAUCUUGCUAAUACGCUACGAGGAAUACAAUUUCAUUUGGACCUUCUUAAAAGUCAAAAGUUGGUAAGCGACGAUUGGAAAGACGUUGAUCUUACUGAAUGGAAGAUCACAGAACAAUUACAAAAGGCAAUUCAAAAAGAUUACACAGGUAUAUAUCUUUUUUUAAUAAAAAGUAUAAAGUACUUUUUAAAUAUACUAAUAAUUGUUCGUGUUGCACAGGAAAUGAUUACUUCUUUUAGGUUUAAGUUAGCCAGCAUACUAUUAUGUUGGAAAACAAACACUGCAGCAAUGACUACAAUCGUUGAAGAAAGUGACGAUGACAGCAAGGGAGAUCCUGAUGAUGUUCAAAUAUUGGAAAGUUUAGAUGAUAAAAAAACAAAAACAAAAAUCCCAUUAUCUGUUGAAAAUAAAUACAGAUCACUAAUAUCAAUUCUUUCUAAUAUGACCUUACAUGAGUUAACAGCUGGACUCUGUAGCUUCAUUAAAUCAAUUAAUUACACCGAGAUUUUAGAGAAAGUAUGGAUCCGAAGUUCAAAACCAUAUCCAAUUAGCUUGUCUCUCAGAAAACUACAAGGAUUGCUAAAGGAUGAUUUAUCCAUGGACCGCGAUUGCUUUAAUUUGAUCAUACGGAAGAUUAUGUUGGAUGACAUCCAAACAUCACAAAAAACAAAGCAACCGAUAGCAAAGCAUUAUCUCGACAUGAAAUUUUGGAUGACUACUGAUUUUGGAAGGCACCCGGAUUUUCGUAAAAAGUUAGAUGUCGAGCAACUAGCAAAUUCUGUUCAUACCAGAACAGUGUACAUUUUGGACCCUACUCCUAUUAAUCCAAUGUACCGAUACAACCCACUCGCAAAAUAUGUGAAAAAAAUUAUAUGGAUUUCCGAACAUUUACCAAAAGCAAUGUCAAAAGCAUGCCCUGGGUCUAGAUGGAACGAGGAUAUUCUCUUAUGGCAUCAUAGAAUCCUAGAUGAUAUUCCAGUUUACAACAGGGGAACUGUUGGUUAUCUUGUUCCCCUAUUCAUGUCCACAUGGGAAGACGAAAGACCACAUUUGCCAUUUUUAAAGGAUGGAUAUGAACUCAGAAAACUAAUUUUGGGCCAACUACUAACAUUCAAGGACAAUGAAUGUGAAGAUAACAUGACUGCUGGUGUACUGGACUUCAUCAAUUGUAUUAGGAAAAUCCAAAGUUAA